This is a non-coding RNA of Cricetulus griseus (Chinese hamster), 2482 nucleotides long. Lineage: Eukaryota; Metazoa; Chordata; Mammalia; Rodentia; Cricetidae. The record is from RefSeq and is a predicted model, not a curated record.
GGCUAUACAGGGAAACCUUAUCCCCAAAUAAUAAUAAGGAUUUAUUUAUGUUUUAUGUAUAUGGCUGUUUUGCCUGCAAGUAUGUAUGAGAACCACAUGUGUGCCUGGUGCCCACAGAGUCCAGAAGUGGGUAUCAGAGCUCCUGGAAUGUGUUACAGAUGGAGCCUGGGUCCUCUGUAAGAUCAGCAAGUACUCUUAAGUACUUAGUUAUCUUCUUUGAUAGAAACUGGUUUGCUUUAGGGCUGUGCUCCUCACAAAUGGAGCCUGCUCAGUCUCCACAUUGUCCUCAACAGAAGCCUAUGACUAUGGCGUCUUCCAGAUCAUUCCUGGCACAGACACGCUAGUGGGAUCUCAUCUACAAGAAUCUUGUCUCUACUGCCCAUCAUCACAGCCACUAAGCACUUGAGCUGGCUUAGGCUCUCUGACUCCCUCUCACAGACAUUAGUGGAUGUCUGUUGUGUCUGCUUGGAUUAACCAAACCCCAGGCCUCUCAUUCCCUUGUGACCUCUGUCCUUAGCCAGCCUCUUGGGAUUUCUCUUCUCAUCCUUGAAUUCUCCAUACCCUCUGCCUUGGUUAUUGAUGCUUCCUUCCUUUUGUAUCUGCUCUGGAAACUCAGCCAUCUGCUUUCUCCGUUCCUAUUCCUGACUUGAGUCUUGGAGGAAACUCCAUGUUUCUGUGGUCAGCGCCCCUGUAAUCAGAUCACCUCUAAGUGCACGGAAUCAAUAGACACCCUAUCAGACUGUCGUUUAUAUACCCAGUUUCCCAGCUGGGCAGCUAUUGUCAGGCCCCUGGAGCUUCUUAGCUCUCCUCUGCCCUCUCCCAGCAAACAGUCCUCCCAUUUCUAGCAUCAAUUCUUUACCUGCUGGUUACAAGGAAGAUUCAUCCUUGCUGUCUGCCUUGAGCAAGGCUGUUCCUAAUCUAGAGAUGGCCCAGAAAGUUCAGUCACCAUCAGUAGCUCUGCAUGAUACAAAUACCUCAGCAUGAUCUAACACCCUCAGCCUCCCUCUCCCAGAAGCUGCAAUGUUGGAUGCCUGCUUGCUUUUUGGUUCAGGACCUCUCCUCGGGCAGCCACACCAUAAUACAAAUAUGCCAUGUGUAUAAAUUCUUAAGUAGGAGCUUUUCUUAUUUAGCAGUAAUACCCUUGUAACUGUCCGUACCCAAAAUAGUCCUGUAUAGGUCCAGACUAGAGAUGACAUACCUUUACAGCUAGAGUUAUGGAGAAACUUAAGAGACUUUCUAAAUCAUGUACACAGAGUUUGUAAUAUUGUACUUAAAGUAUGACUUUUUGUAGCUUUUACUGGUGAAGGUUGGAGGAAAACAGGCCCAGUUUGAGCCUUCUGCUGACAGUGACUGAUGGAAUCAAGCACCUUUCUGUACCUCAGAUUCCCCAUCGGGCCAUCUGUAUGACCACACACUUGGAACUAUUCGUGGGAGCCUGGCGGGCUAAGCACUGUGUGCACAACUGAAGACAAGGAUCCUCCUCUCCCUGAACCUAUCACAAGGUUCCCCAAACCUGAGAAGCGGUGGUGUAAAUGUCUGGUUCAGCUCCAAGCAUCCAGCCGUCAUCUACUAUUGGCACCUGGAGAAGCCUGGAGUCUUUAUAGUCACAGGUGUUCACUGCAAAGGAGCCUUCUAUGGAGGCUGAGAAUACAUUUGUCUAGGGCUAUAGACAGAUAUUUAGAAGGCAGUUUUGAUACUGUGUCAAUUCAGCUAAACAACAGAAGUAGGUUCCUAGCUAGAGCCUAUAACUUCCCUAGCCAGGUGUUUUUGACCAGAUUUACAAUACCAGGUGUGAAUUCUCUGGAGCAGGCCUUAAAUCUAAGCAGGGAGUGGUUGGUCACUCCCUUAACAGUUGUGCCAUUAUUGCAGAAUUGAGCUCACCUGGCCUGGCAAGUGAGUAGUGUGGUUCACAGGGUUCAUAGCUGGGUGAAACUGUUAUGUCUCUUCUCUCCCAGCAGCCUGCAUAGCAUCUUUGGCACUAGGAAUCCAGACAGCAGGGAGGAAGUUUCCAGCUCAAUUCCAGGGUGAUUUCUCUAUAUCCUGCAACCAAAGUGUGCCACGUCUUCAGCAACGGAGUCUAUCAUCUAGCUGCGAUAGACACUCGAGAGGAGCAGCAAGAACUGCCUCUGACCAGGAGCACAUACUCGUACCAAGCACUUGGGGUGUUGUUCAGUAACCCGUGGCUUCUAUGAACAACAUUUUCCAGCUAUGCAGGGUAUCUUCCUUCUAGAUGCUUUUAAAAUUUGUAUUUGUUAAUUGGGCUGCAAAAUAGUAGGUUUCCAUACGGCUUUUCCAUAGUACACCCUACACUUUGGUUUACCCUCCACCUCUCACCCCUUUUUUGCAUUCCAUCUCCCAACUGCUCUCCCUGCUUAACUUUUCCUUGAAGUGUUUGUUUGUUUGUUUGUGUUUUGGUUUUUUGUUUUGUUUUUGUUUGUUUGGUUUUUGGGUUUUGUUUUUUCCGAGACAGGGUUUCUCUGUG